Molecule: small nuclear RNA, 102 nt
Organism: Budorcas taxicolor (takin)
Lineage: Eukaryota; Metazoa; Chordata; Mammalia; Artiodactyla; Bovidae
Source: RefSeq, a predicted model, not a curated record
CCAUAGUGUAUGGUUUGGAAGCACACAAACUAAGACAACACAGAGAUUAGCAUGGCCCUGUAUAAAGAUAACACGCAAAUUCAUGAAGUUUUCUAUGUUUUA